UACGUAGGCAGCAAGCGUUGUUCGGAGUUACUGGGCGUAAAGGGUGUGUAGGCGGUUCUCUAAGUCUGGUGUGAAAUCUCCCGGCUCAACUGGGAGGGUGCGCCGGAAACUGGAGAGCUAGAGUACUGGAUGGGAGAGUGGAAUUCCUGGUGUAGCGGUGAAAUGCGUAGAUAUCAGGAGGAACACCUGUGGCGAAAGCGGCUCACUGGACCAUAACUGACGCUGAUGCACGAAAGCUAGGGGAGCAAACAGG
Molecule: ribosomal RNA, 253 nt
Filed under: uncultured bacterium
Lineage: Bacteria
Description: partial 16S ribosomal RNA
Rfam family: Bacterial small subunit ribosomal RNA
Source: RNAcentral